UACAAAGUGUGCUGUUAGAAAGGGAGUGAGCAUAAGGGGCAACGAUAUGAAGGACAGAGAGGACCAAUUUAGAUGGCAGAGGGCCUCCCUAAGCAGGUGACAUGUAAACCAUGCCCUGAAGGAUAAAAGGUCACAGAGGCUCAGAGGGUGUGACUCAACCAGGAUUAUGCAACAAUAGGUGGCAGAGACAGGACUAGACCCUGGUAUCCUGCCCCCCAAGCCCAGUGGGAUUUCCACAUCAUUCCCCCCACCCCCUGCCUCCCACUCCCUGCACUGCUGCCUUCCUGAUGGGUUCCAGAAGUUGUUGAGGUCGGUGGGAGGGAAGUAGAGGGCAGGCGUGGUGACACCUACAAAUUUGGGCAAACCUUCUGGCUCCAGCUCUGGCCCUGGCCCAGAACAAGGGAAGGAAAUGCUGUCAACAGUCCAGAUGCUGUCAUCUGCCUGUGAUGCCUGGAACGGCAGCUGCCAAUUUUAGGACUUUGAGGAAGGAGCCUAAGAGGGUAUUGCCAUACACUGGAGAUGGCAGAGCACAAGUGAGGAUGGAACCAGUGUCCUUGAAGACAUAACCAAGUCCCUGUAUUAACCAGUCUGGAUUACCUUGCCCUUGGACUUCUCAUUAUGUGAAAGAAAAAUUGUCCUCAUUGUUUAA
This is a long non-coding RNA of Felis catus (domestic cat), 649 nucleotides long. RefSeq lists it as uncharacterized. Lineage: Eukaryota; Metazoa; Chordata; Mammalia; Carnivora; Felidae. The record is from RefSeq and is a predicted model, not a curated record. The transcript has 2 exons.